Molecule: long non-coding RNA, 3303 nt
Organism: Callithrix jacchus (white-tufted-ear marmoset)
Lineage: Eukaryota; Metazoa; Chordata; Mammalia; Primates; Cebidae
Source: Ensembl
AUGGAGCUUUUCUUCUGUGAUUUUUCUAACAGGGCCACAGGGGGAUUGAACAUUGAAUUCUACACUGCAAUCUUUAUAACAUUGGACCUGAACCAACUGAGCUAUUCACUGGUUUUGAGGGAGAAAACAUCUAGAGAUCAAAACAAGCUUCUCUCAAGAUCCUGCCACAAUCAACAUAUGGAACAGUUUCCACCACUCACAAGAAGCCCCCGCAUGCUGUUCUUUUGGGAACAUGCAAUGCCUUUUCUGCGGACUGCAUCCCGAACAGAAGCUGGAGUCAGUACAGAUCUUUAAAUCCCUGUUAUUUCCACUGAAUUUUGGAUGCUUCCUGCCCUUGAACACUGGACUCCAAGUUCUUCAGCUUCAGCACUUGGACUGGUUUCCUUGCUUCUCAGCUUGCAGACAGCCUAUUGUGGGACCUCACCUUCUGAUGGUGUGAGUCAAUACUCCUUAAUAUACUCCCCUGUAUACAUACAUCUAUCCUAUUAGUUCUGUCGCUCUAGAGAACCCUAAUACAUUCGUCUUUGCGUUUCCAUUGUUCAUACCCAAUGAGAUUCUUCUUCCCUUAGCCUAGUAAACAUAACCUUGUCUCAAUCCUGGUAUAGUGUAAGAAAGGCAGUUGGUGGUUACUCUGGCCUGUUGAGUGGGGGAAAGAGGUGGUGAUGCUUUGAGCUACUUGUUCCUGUCUACUUGAGGUUUUAGUGUGAAGAUAUAUUUGGGGUAAGGGUGAUGACACUGCCUAACACUUUUUCUAGUAUCUUCGGCACCAUUGGCCACUGUGUUCUAAGAGAUUGGGGAUAGAGACAAUAUUCUUUGAAAUUUUUCAUCUUGAGAGGUUUUUGUUUAGCCUCCUCAUUUAUGAUCAUGAAUAUCAGAAGCAAGAAAGGAAGAACUACAGACCUAUAAAAAUUUUGGCAAUGUUCUCUUUGGUAACUUGAGAGUAUUCUGUCCUAUUAUUCUGUCUCUAGCACUGGAUGUCUUUUCCUACUAAUUACCUUUAUAGUCAUUUGAAGGAAUUGGAGAGACCAAUGACUUAAGCGCUCGCCUGACAUUUGGUUGCCUCAUUUUCCUGUGUCUAUGUAGACGAGUGCAGGGUGGAGGCUUGGGCUAAGACUGAAAGCCCAGUAACUGACUUUACAAGUGUCUCUGAAUGAAGAGAGAAAUAAGACAUCCAACUAUCAAGGCCACCGUAAAGUGCUACUCAGUAAUGUCAUCAGGCUCAUAUGAAUUUCUUCUCCCAAAUUUUUGGGCUGUAACCUCUUCCUAAUAGGAAGAAAUGAAAUAAAGUCUAUUUUUCUAUUAUACUCCUGUGCAGAUCCAUUAGCUUCCUCUCUUGUGUUAGGAGAAAAAUAUAAUGUGUUUCUCCUUUCAUUUCAUUUCCCUUGGGGUCUGCAAGAAUUUUCAGGGUAGGAAAGGUAAGCCUGCUCAAGACUGGAUGUCUUCAGCUUGUUUCUAAAAAGUAGGAUGAUUUUAUAGCCCCAUCUGUCAAUUCAAUUAUACCAUUUAUUUUAAAAUUAAUAUUGAUAAAAUGCCUUCUGUGUGUUGAGAUGAUGGAAAUACAGUCUUGAAUAAAUGCCUCUCUCAGAACGUGGCAUGGAGUAAGUUCUCAUAGAUAUUUGCUGAGAAAAUGAAUGAAAGAAGACAUGAUUUUUGCUGUCAUGAUGCACAGUCUAUUGGCAGUGAGUGUAUGCGUAUACAUAUUGAAGUAUUUGCUAUUCCCAACAGAAGUUAUGGGGAAUAUGAGGCAGGAGCCUUUGAAUAUGGCUUGGAUAAUUGGGAAAGUUUCUAAAAUACAUGGCAUUUGAGUUGGAUUAUGAGAUAGCAUUUUCUUGAAGAAGAGGAUAGUACUGUAAUGAUUAACACAUGGACUUUGUAGUUCAGCACACUUGAGUUUGAGCUCCAGUUCUCCCAUGUGCUUAUGCCAGUGCCUUGCAAAACCACCUGAGUAAUCUGCUGACCAAGUAAAGCCAGUUUAUCAAACUUACUGCAGUAAGGAGGACACCAGCUUAAAAGAGCUUUCAUCCUGUCUUGAAAGAAACAGAUCAUAGGAAGGUACUUAAUGUACAUUAGCACUGGUGCUGGGUGAUUUUUAGGCUGACCUUGUAAGGUAGGGGACUGGUUAAGAAAGGGCAGAGUUUGUGGCAUAAAGUGAGGUGAGGAUUUUGAAAAAGUCUAGAAAAGCAAGCUAAUAGUUUCAAAAUAUAUAGUAUUUAGUUAAUUCAUUGUCUUCCAGAAGAUUUUCUAAAGCAAAUAAUUCCUUUUUUUUUUUUUUUGCUUGCUCUCAGAAUUGUUUAAUACAGAAUAGGAAAGUACGUUGAUUUCAGUACUCCCUAGCUAUGUGACUUUAAGUUUUUUUCCCCAACUUACUUUAAAUUGAAGCUUAUAGAAUUAAUGAAACUAAUAGAUGAUUUAAUAAGAUAAAAUGUAUUAUCACAUAGAACUUGACAUUUAGGAAACAUUCAAUAUAGGAUUGCAGAGAUGUCACCACCACCACCAUCAUCAUCAUCAACACAUCUUCAUCUUCAUCAUGACUCUAAUUAUGAUGAUUAUAUCAUAAUUGUUGCAGAACUGAACCUAGGUUUGCUCACUUAGCUCAGCAAAGCCAAACACUGACACUGAGGUUUGCAGUGAGAGAAAGGAAUGUGUUUAUUGCAGGGCACCAAGCAAGGAGAAUGGGCAGUUCUUGUUUAAGAGCUGGACUCCCAAAUGGCUUACAAGCAAGGAUUUUUAAGGCAUGGGUACAUCUCAGAAAAACAGAAGUUACAGGCAAAAUCAUAAUUAAUUCAUGGAGGUUAUGGAUUGGUUUGGCCCAAAAAGCUGGGAUAUCUUGAACCAGAGGCUUACAGGUCAUAGGUGGAUUCAGAGAUUCUUUAAUUUGCAGUUGGUUAAGGGAGGAAGGCUUUGUCUAAAAACAUGGGGGCAGCAGAAAGGGAUGUUAAGGUUUGGCUUUAACCAAUAUUAGUUAAGAUAAGGAAACCUAUUAACCAUCAUGGGGUGCUAAGCGAGAGGUCACAGCCAUAAUGUAUUGUGUCAGAGUGGUCAGGUUAGCAAGAUUGAUGGCCUGCAGUCAUGACUAUCUCUUCAGGCCCCUCGUGAAGAAAUUUACAACAAACAAUAGCAGUCCAUUCAGGCCUCAGUUUCCUUUUGUCUGAGGUCAGUGUGACAGCAGUCAGCAGUUUCCAUCUGGAGAGGGUCUUGGUUUCUAAAAAACAAAUUAACUCAAGAUGGAUUAAAGACUUAAAUGUAACACCCAAAACGAUAAAAAAAACACUAGAAGAAAAUGUAGGCAAUACCAUUCAGGUC